RNAcentral lists this ribosomal RNA (1707 nucleotides) under Salmonella enterica. RNAcentral's name for it is "bacterial LSU rRNA". It matches the Rfam family "Bacterial large subunit ribosomal RNA", at positions 1252 to 2925 of the family's 2925-position model. The record is from RNAcentral. RNAcentral also lists the same sequence under 2 other names. Lineage: Bacteria; Pseudomonadati; Pseudomonadota; Gammaproteobacteria; Enterobacterales; Enterobacteriaceae.
GAAGGUGGCCUGUGAGGGUUGCUGGAGGUAUCAGAAGUGCGAAUGCUGACAUAAGUAACGAUAAAGCGGGUGAAAAGCCCGCUCGCCGGAAGACCAAGGGUUCCUGUCCAACGUUAAUCGGGGCAGGGUGAGUCGACCCCUAAGGCGAGGCCGAAAGGCGUAGUCGAUGGGAAACGGGUUAAUAUUCCCGUACUUGGUGUUACUGCGAAGGGGGGACGGAGAAGGCUAUGUUGGCCGGGCGACGGUUGUCCCGGUUUAAGCGUGUAGGUGUGUGUUCCAGGUAAAUCCGGUUCACUUUAACACUGAGGCGUGACGACGAGGCACUACGGUGCUGAAGCAACAAAUGCCCUGCUUCCAGGAAAAGCCUCUAAGCAUCAGGUAACAUCAAAUCGUACCCCAAACCGACACAGGUGGUCAGGUAGAGAAUACCAAGGCGCUUGAGAGAACUCGGGUGAAGGAACUAGGCAAAAUGGUGCCGUAACUUCGGGAGAAGGCACGCUGACACGUAGGUGAAGUGAUUUACUCACGGAGCUGAAGUCAGUCGAAGAUACCAGCUGGCUGCAACUGUUUAUUAAAAACACAGCACUGUGCAAACACGAAAGUGGACGUAUACGGUGUGACGCCUGCCCGGUGCCGGAAGGUUAAUUGAUGGGGUCAGCGCAAGCGAAGCUCCUGAUCGAAGCCCCGGUAAACGGCGGCCGUAACUAUAACGGUCCUAAGGUAGCGAAAUUCCUUGUCGGGUAAGUUCCGACCUGCACGAAUGGCGUAAUGAUGGCCAGGCUGUCUCCACCCGAGACUCAGUGAAAUUGAACUCGCUGUGAAGAUGCAGUGUACCCGCGGCAAGACGGAAAGACCCCGUGAACCUUUACUAUAGCUUGACACUGAACAUUGAGCCUUGAUGUGUAGGAUAGGUGGGAGGCUUUGAAGCGUGGACGCCAGUCUGCGUGGAGCCGACCUUGAAAUACCACCCUUUAAUGUUUGAUGUUCUAACGUGGACCCGUGAUCCGGGUUGCGGACAGUGUCUGGUGGGUAGUUUGACUGGGGCGGUCUCCUCCUAAAGAGUAACGGAGGAGCACGAAGGUUGGCUAAUCCUGGUCGGACAUCAGGAGGUUAGUGCAAUGGCAUAAGCCAGCUUGACUGCGAGCGUGACGGCGCGAGCAGGUGCGAAAGCAGGUCAUAGUGAUCCGGUGGUUCUGAAUGGAAGGGCCAUCGCUCAACGGAUAAAAGGUACUCCGGGGAUAACAGGCUGAUACCGCCCAAGAGUUCAUAUCGACGGCGGUGUUUGGCACCUCGAUGUCGGCUCAUCACAUCCUGGGGCUGAAGUAGGUCCCAAGGGUAUGGCUGUUCGCCAUUUAAAGUGGUACGCGAGCUGGGUUUAGAACGUCGUGAGACAGUUCGGUCCCUAUCUGCCGUGGGCGCUGGAGAACUGAGGGGGGCUGCUCCUAGUACGAGAGGACCGGAGUGGACGCAUCACUGGUGUUCGGGUUGUCAUGCCAAUGGCACUGCCCGGUAGCUAAAUGCGGAAGAGAUAAGUGCUGAAAGCAUCUAAGCACGAAACUUGCCCCGAGAUGAGUUCUCCCUGAGACUUAAAGUCUCCUGAAGGAACGUUGAAGACGACGACGUUGAUAGGCCGGGUGUGUAAGCGCAGCGAUGCGUUGAGCUAACCGGUACUAAUGAACCGUGAGGCUUAACCUUACAACGCCGAAG